This 4259-nucleotide long non-coding RNA is filed under the name Anas zonorhyncha (Eastern spot-billed duck). RNAcentral describes it as "lncRNA (ENSAZOG00000010908.1)". Lineage: Eukaryota; Metazoa; Chordata; Aves; Anseriformes; Anatidae. The record is from RNAcentral.
GUUUUUAUUGGUUUGGUUUUUAUUUUAUUUUAGACAAUCCAUAAGAAUUAAUCUGGAUACAGCGAAACAGAUUCCCAGGUGGCUUAAUUUAGCAUCACUCCAAUGUCUUGAAAUGGGCAGCACUAACUUGUUACGCCAACUGUAAACGUGGCCCUUCAUGUCUUGUAUCAAUUUUCUUUUAAAUAACAAUCACACCAGCCCACAGUGAUAUUUAGCAUUACUCAAUCCUUGUAAAAAUGACAAACUUUACCUCCCCGCGAAGUUGCCUGUGAUUAGUCACACGUGGCAGUGUUACCAAGAGGCGACGCUGAGCAGUGCCCCGUGAGCUUCGCUUAAAUCUGGCUGUUAUGUCGGGCUGUACCUGUGCUACCCCCCUGAACCCUUAUUGUCAAGGGAAGCAAUUUCACAUCCUGCCUACUAAGUGAAGAGAUUGUGAAAGUUAUCUUCAUUGUUUUGAGAGAACAGAAUUUAUUCCCUUCAAAACAAGUGACCAGCUUUGCCUUAAUCAAGCGCACGUAUCCAGCCUUCAGCGAGGCAGGCUGGAGCCGAAGCCUUUCUGUUUCAUCCCGUUUCAAUCCGGUGUGUUGUCAGCUGAAACUGGCUCUUUUUAAUCUUUUGUAGUAAAUGUCAGGUGAGGAACUGACAGUUGUGAAGGUAACAAUUUUCCAUUUAUCCGCAGCCUGUGUAAUACAUGAGUGGAUACUUACUGCCUGUGAAUGACCAUCGCUGUCAAUCCAACUUAAAAUCCGUUCUCUUCUGUGCUUCUGGAGGGAUGCUGCCUGUGUAAUUUGUCUGUAGCUUAUAAAGGAGAGAGCAGCCGUGGAUUGAAGUCAGCAUUCAGUUUAUUAGUUGUAUUUUAAAUAUUUGAUCACAGUGAGGCUAAAAAUUCAACACCACUGUAACAUGGUAUGAUGCCUUAAAAUGCCUGUAGUAUUUGAGGUAGAUCAGAUGGAAAAAAAUAAUUGUUUGUGAGAAAAUGAUAAUUGCACGUAUAUCGCACUUCAAGCCGAAAUAUCAUAUAUUAUUUACAGUCUGGGGAAGAAAUAUGAGACUCCAGAUAAGAGGGAGAGGAGAGAUUAAUUUCAUCUCUUUGGUAAACACCCGCAGCAGCUGGGUGAGGCGUAAACAGGGGCCGUACCUGGCCAGAAGCAGAGCCUGCCGCGCGGACAGACGAGGGGUGGAGACGGCAGCUGGGAUCUGCAGCAGAGAAUCUGCACCUAGAUGUGCACCUGCCUGCGUGGCUCUUCCUUCCCUGCGUGCUGCCGAUGGGAUGGCAACGGCCACGCUCUUGGAACACGAAGGUGUGUGAAGAAACAAAGCUGGAGUAAGGGCAUGAAAAGGCAUCCUGGGGGAAAUAGGUCAGUCCUUUAUUUACCGUAGUGCUUUAGCUCUGAUUAUGCAAGGAGCUUAAUGCUGCUUCAGGUAGAGUAGGGCCUUGUAUUUCUAUGCAACACCUGCAGCGGCGGCGUGCUCUGCCAUUCCUCUGCCCGUGUUCCCAUUGAAUAAUAAGAACCAGGUUUUGGAAAGUACGCCAAACAUCUGGUAAAAUCAGGGCUCUACAAGUUUAUUCGAAAAUAUUCGUGAGCGUCACAGAUUUGCCAGGUGGUGAGCACUGUUGAAAAUCUGUCCCUAAUUUACUAUGUAAAUUAGGCCAUUAGGUUAAAUUGAUCUGCUUGUAAGUUAGCAUGCUACCCAGUAUGAGCUACAGGGGUAGAAGCCGUCCUGGUAAGACAUACACAUUUGACUAAAUUGUAUUUACAUUCCCUGCUCUCUUUAUGUGGUGGUCAUCCCCCUGUGAGUCAUCCCAAUACGCUCCAGGUUAUGUGGGAAUCUCGUCGUGGCAAAAUGUUGAUUUAAUGAGCUUGGAACAAGAGACACACAACAUCAAAAGCUGGGACACCCAGGGAGUAAGUGACUGGAAAUGAGAGUACAUCAUCUUUAAAACAAAAACAAACAAACAAAAAACCAGGACAAAUAUUUAUCUGCUGUUUUGUUAAAGGAUUCCUCUUCUCAGACACGAAGAAAUCACUGCAAGACAAACAUGCUAGCAGCUACUGUCCAUGUUAGCUCCUUUUUGUGCUCGGUAUGUCAAGGAAAGAAAAAAAGAUUUAUGACUCAUUGUUUUCCAAGGUUGCUGCUUCCUCUGCAGAUAUUUACAGGUUGAUUUUUAGAAAAACAGUUUACAAACUGCCCACUGAAUUUCCAUUUUUAUUGCAGGGUCAUAUUAUUACUGCCUAAUCCAUCAUAUAUCACACAGGCUUUGCACUUAAUGCUCGAUUAAGGAAAAAAAUGCAUGGUUAGCUACUCAUAAAUUAUUGUGUCUUCUCACCGUAUAUCUUCAAGAUAAUGCAGAUGAUACAACCUGUAUGUUGGUAAGGCUUGCGUUAUUCAACCCCACUGCUCACUUGGGGACACUUUUCUCUAGGUGUUAACAUCCCCUAGUGUAAACAGGCUUCUCUUUUCCCUUCUAGAAACACGGCUGUUGGUCUCAGAGAGCUCUAGAAGUCUUCUUUGGAGCAGGAACCUGAAAUUUUGUAACCGUUUUUAAAUAGCCUAAAAGCAGCCUCGGGGUCAUACUGUCACUUUUUAAAAUAUCGCAUUGAACAUUUAACACCUGGUAAGUACUGAAAGUGUCACUUUGAAAACAGAAAGUUAUUUUCAUUUGGAGAAUGUUCCAAAGCUUGACAGUGUUUCCCACACAUUCGUACUGUCUUCCAACUGGAAAAACUUGGAAAAUAGUAGUGAAGUGCAUGUGUGGAAAGCUCAUUCUUCAAAAGCCUGAAAACAUGUUUGGAAGCAAUCUUUUUCCAAGUACAGUUGAAAUUAAACACUUAUUUUUCUAAUAUAAAAAAUACUUCUGUGAAAACUUCCUGACCUCUUCAAGUUCUCCUACCAAUGAUGAGACACAGAGGGGAGAGAAAAAUUGCUUUUCCCAUUUCCUCAAACAGCAAGCAAAAAGGCUAUAGGAAGUGACAUUAAAACAGUGAACGUUUCAUUAGAAUUGCAAAGACGUGGAUUUAAACAAUAGGAAACGAGGGAACAGAGGCUCCCAUUUCGUUUUAUUCAUCACUUAUGCCCCAGCUGUCUUUGCCAUGGGCCCAUUUUCUUUUGCAUUGCCUAUUGCACAGGUACUUACAUCAAGGAUAAGUAUGUGUAAAAUACAUAAAACAUUGCUGCUCUUCCUUGGAAGCAUUUUAAGUUGACUGCAGAAGAGUGAGUAACUGCAUACAUCUUAGGGAACAAUGUGGUGGGCUCCUGCGUUCCAGCUGUUAUCUUUUUUAUUGUAUUUUUAACUUGUUUGCCUGCAGUUGCGUGUUUACACCAUGCUGUCAAAAGGCCCAGCAGUGGAGCGGUGGCGUUCUCAAUGGAGCUGUGGCAGACGUAGCUAAAUUACCGGUGUCGAGAACUUUUGGCUUUUUACAGUAGUGAAUGCGUUUGUCCUGAGCACUUAGCAAAAAUAGCAUCUGGGAGGCCAGUUGGAAGCAAGGAAGAAGGGGAGGACCUUUACUGCAUGUGAAUAAAAUUGGUAGCUGAAAGGCAAAAAUCACGUUAGAUUGGCAGCUCCCACCCUCCACGACUGUCCCAACAGCUCAGUGACACUCGUCUGCUCAGCUCUGCUCCAGAAGCCGUGGUUUUGGAUCCUGUUGUUGCUGGUGAGGUUAAUGUAUGGUUCGUGGUAGUGGGAAGUGAGCUCUUGAAUGUUCCCCGGAAGGUUUAGCAUUUGUUUUCAAAAUAGAGGGAAAAACAAAAGGGAAUGCUGCUAAAAUUAUCCCUUGUAUUAUAAACAAAUGCAAACAGCUGUGGGAGCUCUCGCUGGCUUUGCUGCCUGGUCCUAGCUUCAAAAGCAGCCUCAUUCGCUCCACCCUCGACUAUAGGUGUCACUGCGGCGAGUUAAACAAGCUCCAGGAAAUGUCAACAGCAACUGAACACACAAGCUGUGUUGGGAACAGUGUUUGCUGAAUAAAUGACUAAUUUAAUGGCAUCCACUGGAGAAUGGUUUUAUCGGUACCGGUAAUACUCCAGUAUUGCAAAUAAGGGGAGUUUAGGGCUGUAGUAUUAGCAUUUGUUGUCUUAUGUUUUUUUCCUGUAUUGAAAGGGAAUAUUGAAGAACCAUUUCGAUGCAGAACAAUUACAAGGUGGUUUGCAUGGCUGGGAGGCAGGUGAUGGGGAGUGGAUUUGCACGGUGUUACCUUUAUCAUCUGAAAAAGGCAGAACCACGUUGGGAAGUCUGGUGCUUGACCGUAACCCAUGGGGUCUCC